AACGAACGCUGGCGGCGUGCCUAACACAUGCAAGUCGAACGAGAAAGGGGCUUCGGCUCCGAGUAAAGUGGCGCACGGGUGAGUAACACGUGGGUAACCUGCCUCUAAGAUUGGGAUAACUCGUCGAAAGAUGAGCUAAUACCGAAUAAGACCACAGUUCCCGCGGGAACAGGGGUCAAAGGUAGCCUCUGCUUGCAAGCUAUCACUUAGAGAUGGGCCUGCGCACCAUUAGCUAGUUGGUAGGGUAACGGCCUACCAAGGCAAAGAUGGUUAUCUGGUCUGAGAGGAUGAUCAGCCACACUGGAACUGAGACACGGUCCAGACUCCUACGGGAGGCAGCAGUGGGGAAUAUUGCGCAAUGGGCGAAAGCUUGACGCAGCAACGCCGCGUGAGUGAUGAAGGCCUUCGGGUCGUAAAGCUCUGUCGGGAGGAACAAAUGCUCCUGAGGUUAACAGCCUCGGGAGGUGACGGUACCUUCAAAGGAAGCACCGGCUAACUCUGUG
This 503-nucleotide ribosomal RNA is filed under the name uncultured bacterium. RNAcentral's name for it is "partial 16S ribosomal RNA". It matches the Rfam family "Bacterial small subunit ribosomal RNA", at positions 29 to 507 of the family's 1533-position model. The record is from RNAcentral.